This 82-nucleotide small RNA is filed under the name Salmonella enterica. RNAcentral's name for it is "partial RtT sRNA". It matches the Rfam family "RtT RNA", at positions 1 to 81 of the family's 130-position model. From Rfam's summary of the family: This family represents a bacterial cis-regulatory element known as RtT RNA. RNAcentral also lists the same sequence under 3 other names. The record is from RNAcentral. Lineage: Bacteria; Pseudomonadati; Pseudomonadota; Gammaproteobacteria; Enterobacterales; Enterobacteriaceae.
AUAUCUCUCCGUACGGGAAGGAUGAGAAGCUUCGACUAAGGUUCGAUUCGAGCGCAGCGAGAAAGCGUUGCCGCAGGCAACG